CGUGUAGGCGGUUUGUUAAGUCUGAUGUGAAAGCCCCGGGCUCAACCUGGGAAGUGCAUUGGAAACUGGCAGACUUGAAUACGGGAGAGGGCAGUGGAAUUCCUGGUGUAGGAGUGAAAUCCGUAGAUAUCAGGAGGAACACCGGUGGCGAAAGCGGCUGCCUGGACCGAUAUUGAUGCUGAGACGCGAAAGCGUGGGUAGCAAACAGGAUUAGAUACCCUGGUAGUCCACGCCGUAAACGAUGAGUACUAGGUGUUGCGGGUAUUGACCCCUGCAGUGCCGCAGCUAACGCAUUAAGUACUCCGCCUGGGAAGUACGGUCGCAAGACUAAA
Molecule: ribosomal RNA, 332 nt
Filed under: uncultured bacterium
Lineage: Bacteria
Description: bacterial SSU rRNA
Rfam family: Bacterial small subunit ribosomal RNA
Source: RNAcentral